Molecule: non-coding RNA, 209 nt
Organism: Pelobates cultripes (western spadefoot toad)
Lineage: Eukaryota; Metazoa; Chordata; Amphibia; Anura; Pelobatidae
Source: the annotation of a GenBank genome assembly
GUCCAGACUGCUGCUGGCUCUGUCCCUGAUCUGCCUGCUUGGCUGACAUCAUCAAAAGUGAUGUUCUGAGUCAAUCACAAUGCUUUCAAAUACGAAAGCAUUGGAUUGGUUGAGUGUCAAGGAGGCAGAUCAUGGACAGAGCCAGCACAAGCCAAACACAGUCCUUUACAUGCAUUUCUAUGAGGAAAGUUCAGUGUCUCUAUGCAGAG